CAUAGGUUUAAAGAUGAACUGCUGUGGUCUGCUGAAUGCUGAGAAGGAACCAGUUCCUCUGAAGAGCGUGGAGGUGGAGGUGGAGGUUAGGGACCAUGUGGCUACAGUGGUCUCCACUCUGAACUAUGA
Molecule: long non-coding RNA, 129 nt
Organism: Etheostoma cragini (Arkansas darter)
Lineage: Eukaryota; Metazoa; Chordata; Actinopteri; Perciformes; Percidae
Exons: 2
Source: RefSeq, a predicted model, not a curated record